Tripterygium wilfordii is the source of this 1384-nucleotide long non-coding RNA. RefSeq lists it as uncharacterized. The record is from RefSeq and is a predicted model, not a curated record. Lineage: Eukaryota; Viridiplantae; Streptophyta; Magnoliopsida; Celastrales; Celastraceae. The transcript has 2 exons.
ACGACGUUUCAUGCUGAUGUCGAGAGCCUUCUUCGCGAAGCGACAAAUAUGUAUCCUCAUCUUGAUUCAUGUAUCUGGGUCGUUUUCAUAGAUUUCAAGUGCACUCUCUUCUCUCCUUCCCCAUCCCUCUGUCUUCUCUGACUAUCGCUUCUCGGCCAACCUUCAAACAAAAAUUCUGAGACGUAAGUAACUCUGAGCUUUUAGGUUAAUUUUACAAUUCGUUUCGUUAUAUUUUGGUUUCUUUUUGAGGUAAAGAUUUCUUUUCUUUUUUUUUUCUUUUUUUUUUUUUGUAAAUUUGGCUUCUUCCGAGAUUCAUUGCAUGCAUUUUGGGGGACCUAAUAAAGAAAGGUAUGAAAUAUGAUUCUAGAAUUUCUGUUUUCGUAUUUGUAUUUCUUUGAUCAUAACCUUUGUUUUGGUUAUUUGUCUUUAGAACUUGAGAAAAUCAUCAACUUCUGUACUGUACGUUUAGCCUGUUUUGGUUCUCAAUCUUCUGAAUAAUUGAACAUCAAUGAUAUAACUGCACAGUUGUUGAAAGCAACUAUCUCAUUUAUGUCUUAGUUGUCUUAUAUAAUUACAUGUGCUGUUUUGAAUGCAUUAUUUGGACAAACCUACUACUCUGUUUUUUCUCUUGGAAAAGGAUAAAGAAUUGAAGAGGUAAUAGUAAUAUAUAAGGCUUCUUGUAUUUUUUAAAUUAAAGAAGCUCUGCAUGACCAGGAAUACUGCGUUUGUCUUGCCAAUAUCUAUGAGGGUUCAAAUAUUCUUGAGUGAAGGAGAUCUUCAUGUGUUGAGAAACACUAAAGAGGAAGUUGUUGCACUGCCAAUGGUAACUGAUAGAUGAUAUAUCUGUAGGUUUAUUGUUGCCUGUUGGCAUAAUUAUCUGAAAUAAUAUUGCGAUUAAUGUGUUUUUCUGAGGAAAUUUGAUAACCACAAAGAGAAGAAGAUUCACCACUAUCCACGAACGGAAAUAUACAAUAAGAUUAGGUUUUUUUUCCCCUGUGGAACAUGCAAGGGAUAAAGAAGAAGGGAAACCGAAGAGUAGCAAAGCAGAAGAAAUCAAAUAGGGUAUUAUGAUUUUGUGUUGCGUACCCUGUGCUAGGAGGGACAUAAAGGGUAUGCAGUCAUGACUUUAUGAUUCGAAUUGCGCCACCAAUUCUGUUGAACAAGUUUGAUUUUCUGGAUUAUGAAACAAUGGAGGAGAGGGUUUGAAGAUACAUUGUCAGUUGUUUAUUCUUGAAUUUUUUGAAGCUGCGUUUCUUUAUUUGUAGAAUCAGUUUAUUACAAUUGACAUGAAAAUUCAACUAUACAAAAUUAAUAGGACAUUUGUGGGUCUCUGAUGUGAGGUUGCUCUUGAAUUUAAGGAGGAUCAAACGAUUGAGCUAUUAAA